AGCGGGGAAGGUAGCUUGCUACCUAACCUAACGGCGGACGGGUGAGUAAUGCUUAGGAAUCUGCCUAUUAGUGGGGGACAACAUUCCGAAAGGAAUGCUAAUACCGCAUACGCCCUACGGGGGAAAGCAGGGGAUCUUCGGACCUUGCGCUAAUAGAUGAGCCUAAGUCAGAUUAGCUAGUUGGUGGGGUAAAGGCCUACCAAGGCGACGAUCUGUAGCGGGUCUGAGAGGAUGAUCCGCCACACUGGGACUGAGACACGGCCCAGACUCCUACGGGAGGCAGCAGUGGGGAAUAUUGGACAAUGGGCGAAAGCCUGAUCCAGCCAUGCCGCGUGUGUGAAGAAGGCCUUUUGGUUGUAAAGCACUUUAAGCGAGGAGGAGGCUACUUAGAUUAAUACUCUAGGAUAGUGGACGUUACUCGCAGAAUAAGCACCGGCUAACUCUGUGCCAGCAGCCGCGGUAAUACAGAGGGUGCGAGCGUUAAUCGGAUUUACUGGGCGUAAAGCGUGCGUAGGCGGCUUUUUAAGUCGGAUGUGAAAUCCCUGAGCUUAACUUAGGAAUUGCAUUCGAUACUGGGAAGCUAGAGUAUGGGAGAGGAUGGUAGAAUUCCAGGUGUAGCGGUGAAAUGCGUAGAGAUCUGGAGGAAUACCGAUGGCGAACGCAGCCAUCCGGCCUAAUACUGACGCUGAGUACGAAAGCAUGGGGAGCAAACAAGAUUAGAUACCCUGCUAGUCCAUGCCGUAACGAUGUCUACUAGCCGUGGG
RNAcentral lists this ribosomal RNA (764 nucleotides) under uncultured bacterium. RNAcentral describes it as "bacterial SSU rRNA". It matches the Rfam family "Bacterial small subunit ribosomal RNA", at positions 65 to 826 of the family's 1533-position model. The record is from RNAcentral.